Molecule: long non-coding RNA, 535 nt
Organism: Helianthus annuus (common sunflower)
Lineage: Eukaryota; Viridiplantae; Streptophyta; Magnoliopsida; Asterales; Asteraceae
Exons: 3
Source: RefSeq, a predicted model, not a curated record
CGUUUUUCACCGUAAUUUAUUCAUAUUUCUCUUGAGUCCAGUUAAAAGUCUCAUUCCUUACAGAGAAGGAAAGUUAGCAAAGAGCUUGAAGAAGUUGAUAAUGGAGGUGUUAAAGUGAUUUAUUAUGUGCGCCAACUGAUAUAGUAUAAUUUGCUAAACCUAAGUUCCAAAAUGGUUAUUCGUAUUUCAUUUGCAGUCAAUUUGUAAACUUGAGGUUUGCCCCCAUGAAACUCUAUAUCUGUUUGAAGAUUAGAGUUUGAACUCUUAUUGUCCUUUAAUGUUCAGAAGCAAGCAGGCUAGUUUCUUUAUUACCUGCUUCAAGAUUGAACAGAUAACCAACAAAGUUAAAACAAGAUAUAGUAGAGAAGUGUGCUAUGAAGGAGAAAAUUGAAGGAGAUACAAGUUAUACAUUGGAACGAAUGAGAUUUCAAUUGUCGUCACAAAACCUGCCAUAUUUUUUUUCCUCAUGAUAUGGGUUUAUUGUAUUGCUUUUGGAUAAUUUGGAUCUUUAUUAUAGUACAUGUGGAUAUUCAUA